UAAGGAAUAUUGGUCAAUGGAGGCAACUCUGAACCAGCCAUGCCGCGUGCAGGAUGAAGGCCCUCUGGGUCGUAAACUGCUUUUAUCAGGGAAGAAAUCACUGGUUUCUACGAGUGUUGACGGUACCUGAGGAAUAAGCACCGGCUAACUCCGUGCCAGCAGCCGCGGUAAUACGGAGGGUGCAAGCGUUAUCCGGAUUUACUGGGUUUAAAGGGUGCGUAGGCGGGCCCUUAAGUCAGUGGUGAAAGCUCCGAGCUUAACUCGGAAACUGCCAUUGAUACUAUAGGUCUUGAAUUCGGUCGAGGUUGGCGGAAUGUGUCGUGUAGCGGUGAAAUGCUUAGAUAUGACACAGAACACCGAUUGCGAAGGCAGCUAGCUAGACCGACAUUGACGCUGAGGCACGAAAGCGUGGGGAUCAAACAG
RNAcentral lists this ribosomal RNA (423 nucleotides) under uncultured bacterium. RNAcentral describes it as "bacterial SSU rRNA". It matches the Rfam family "Bacterial small subunit ribosomal RNA", at positions 355 to 775 of the family's 1533-position model. The record is from RNAcentral.